AUAAUGGGUCAGCGACUUAUAUUCUGUAGCAAGGUUAACCGAAUAGGGGAGCCGAAGGGAAACCGAGUCUUAACUGGGCGUUAAGUUGCAGGGUAUAGACCCGAAACCCGGUGAUCUAGCCAUGGGCAGGUUGAAGGUUGGGUAACACUAACUGGAGGACCGAACCGACUAAUGUUGAAAAAUUAGCGGAUGACUUGUGGCUGGGGGUGAAAGGCCAAUCAAACCGGGAGAUAGCUGGUUCUCCCCGAAAGCUAUUUAGGUAGCGCCUCGUGAAUUCAUCUCCGGGGGUAGAGCACUGUUUCGGCAAGGGGGUCAUCCCGACUUACCAACCCGAUGCAAACUGCGAAUACCGGAGAAUGUUAUCACGGGAGACACACGGCGGGUGCUAACGUCCGUCGUGAAGAGGGAAACAACCCAGACCGCCAGCUAAGGUCCCAAAGUCAUGGUUAAGUGGGAAACGAUGUGGGAAGGCCCAGACAGCCAGGAUGUUGGCUUAGAAGCAGCCAUCAUUUAAAGAAAGCGUAAUAGCUCACUGGUCGAGUCGGCCUGCGCGGAAGAUGUAACGGGGCUAAACCAUGCACCGAAGCUGCGGCAGCGACGCUUAUGCGUUGUUGGGUAGGGGAGCGUUCUGUAAGCCUGCGAAGGUGUGCUGUGAGGCAUGCUGGAGGUAUCAGAAGUGCGAAUGCUGACAUAAGUAACGAUAAAGCGGGUGAAAAGCCCGCUCGCCGGAAGACCAAGGGUUCCUGUCCAACGUUAAUCGGGGCAGGGUGAGUCGACCCCUAAGGCGAGGCCGAAAGGCGUAGUCGAUGGGAAACAGGUU
This 820-nucleotide ribosomal RNA is filed under the name Escherichia coli. RNAcentral's name for it is "partial 23S ribosomal RNA". It matches the Rfam family "Bacterial large subunit ribosomal RNA", at positions 612 to 1431 of the family's 2925-position model. Lineage: Bacteria; Pseudomonadati; Pseudomonadota; Gammaproteobacteria; Enterobacterales; Enterobacteriaceae. The record is from RNAcentral.